This 478-nucleotide ribosomal RNA is filed under the name uncultured bacterium. Its description in RNAcentral is "partial 16S ribosomal RNA". It matches the Rfam family "Bacterial small subunit ribosomal RNA", at positions 28 to 523 of the family's 1533-position model. The record is from RNAcentral.
GACGAACGCUGGCGGCGUGCUUAACACAUGCAAGUCGAACGGUGAAAGCGGAGCUUGCUCCGCUGGAUCAGUGGCGAACGGGUGAGUAACACGUGGGCAACCUGCCCCUCACUUCGGGAUAACUCCGGGAAACCGGGGCUAAUACCGGAUAUGACCUCCUUGGGCAUCCUUGGAGGUGGAAAGUUUUUCGGUGAGGGAUGGGCCCGCGGCCUAUCAGCUUGUUGGUGAGGUAGUGGCUCACCAAGGCGACGACGGGUAGCCGGCCUGAGAGGGCGGCCGGCCACACUGGGACUGAGACACGGCCCAGACUCCUACGGGAGGCAGCAGUGGGGAAUCUUGCGCAAUGGGCGAAAGUCUGACGCAGCCAUGCCGCGUGAAUGAUGAAGGUCUUAGGAUUGUAAAAUUCUCUCACCGGGGACGAUAAUGACGGCACCCGGAGAAGAAGCCCCGGCUAACUUCGUGCCAGCCGCCGCCGUAA